AUUAGCAGGGACACGUGUGAUCGUACGGUCUAGGAUUUGGAUAUAUUAAGAAAAAUGAAACCUUAAAAUCAGAACAUAUCUUCACUUGUCGCCUCUUCUUCUCUGCGAUUUUUCUUCCCUCUCUUCUUCUCUUCAAGGUCUGUUGAUGAAGAGCUUGAAGAACUGAUAGAAGUAAAGCGAACCCCGUUUAAUCGCAGAUAUCUGCUAAUUUGCCGCCUCUAUUUUAGCAGAGUUUUUUCUUCCCUCUCUUCUUUUGUUCAAGGUCUGUUGAUGAAGAACUUUUGAAGAAGUGAUUGAAGUAAGAAGUUCUACAAGAUGAGUGGUGAUGAUAGUGAUUCGAGCAAAAUGAGUCAACCUUGCUUGAACUAUGACAUUUUACGACAGGAUUGGUCAUAAUCCUCUGAAUUAUCAUAGUUGCUAGGUCCAUUGCUCCUACAUUCUCUGCAACUGAGGUCACCUCAAGUAGCAAGCACAAAGAUAGGGAUGUGAGAAUUCAGAAAGUGAAGAAGAGUCGGGAAAGGUGAUUCUCAUACAUACCUUUCAGUUUCAGAGAAAGAUGCUUCUCUCAGCAGCAGCUACCACUUCCUGCUACGAUAAGAAAAAUACUAACUCUUCACUUGUACUUGUAAAUUAGAGAGAAUCAACAAAUCACAAAAUAUUAAAACACAAUCAUAUAGAGCAACUCUGCAUCACCUGCUGGGACAAUCAUCAAUGAAAAUAUAUAUUAGAGUGAAUCAAAAACCCACAUAGCUGGGAAGAUAUACUAAUGUGAGAUCAUGUUUACUACACCUGCUCUUUGAUUGGAAGAGAUCGUCAUUCUCACAAUGAGGUCAGAACUAUCAAUAUAUGAAUGCAAAAUCAGAACUAUAAAAUAUAUUAAUUAUGCGAGAAGAAAUUAAGAGCCUCAGUAAUUAUUAUAACAUGAAGCUUUUAUCAUCACGCAUUUGGGCGCUCCAUCUGGUCAAGUGUUUCCUUUGUUAGUUCCACUUGUUUUCAGCUGGUUUUGUCGACCUCUUUCUUUUGGGCGCUCCAUCUGGUCAAGUGUUUACCCUUUGUAAGAAUUUCAUUUCCAGAAUUUUAGGUUUUCGAGGAAUUUUUAUUUAUAUUAAAUGUAAGUUUUUUUCUUUUUUAGGGAGAAAAAAAAUAAAAAAAUAAUAAUAGUAAUUAAUUAGAAGGUUUUCUUGUUUGUUCUAAUCCAG
Molecule: long non-coding RNA, 1199 nt
Organism: Papaver somniferum (opium poppy)
Lineage: Eukaryota; Viridiplantae; Streptophyta; Magnoliopsida; Ranunculales; Papaveraceae
Exons: 3
Source: RefSeq, a predicted model, not a curated record